Molecule: unclassified non-coding RNA, 858 nt
Filed under: uncultured Synechococcus sp.
Lineage: Bacteria; Bacillati; Cyanobacteriota; Cyanophyceae; Synechococcales; Synechococcaceae
Description: partial may contain 16S ribosomal RNA, 16S-23S ribosomal RNA intergenic spacer, and 23S ribosomal RNA
Rfam family: tRNA (bases 347-419)
Source: RNAcentral
GUCGAAGGUGGGGCUGAUGACUGGGGUGAAGUCGUAACAAGGUAGCCGUACCGGAAGGUGCGGCUGGAUCACCUCCUAACAGGGAGACAAACAACGAUUUUGAUGUCUGAGUUUUUUUAUUCUUAGGCCAAAAUCCUGUCACCUUAGGUCGAUCGGUACCUCAACUUUGAAGCUAAGAGUAUUCAGCAAUGGAUAUCUGCUUAGUGGAGAUUUUUAGUUCCUAAACUUUGUCUAGUUCACAACCCAUUAGGGAUGAGACUCCUGGGCCAUUAGCUCAGGUGGUUAGAGCGCACCCCUGAUAAGGGUGAGGUCCCUGGUUCAAGUCCAGGAUGGCCCAUUCGGUGUAGGGGGUUUAGCUCAGUUGGUAGAGCGCCUGCUUUGCAAGCAGGAUGUCAGGAGUUCGAGUCUCCUAACCUCCACUGACUACCAAAAUCCCCAUCUCCAAAACCUGGAGUAUGAACUCGUAUGGAUUGUGAUUUAGAUGUGUCCGCUAGAUGACCCUAGCUUCUUGUCAUUUUAAGGCAUGGAAAUAGUUCCAUGAUAUUUAAUUGAUAGGAUGCUGGGCUCGAUUCAAUGUAUUGAGAGAUCAAUGCAUUGUUUUGAUGUCUGGUCGAACCUUGACAACUGCAUAGUAAGUCUGGAAAGAAUAAAGCAUCUUUAUGGAUGCAUCAUUCUUGAGUGUUAAUUCACGAUGGGAUGGUGUUAAUUCUAAAGCAAGAGCCGAGACUCCAGCAUGUUCUUUCAAAUGUGUCGAGCAUUUGAGAGUUUGAUUUUAAUUUCUAUUUUUAGAAGUUAGAAGAAUCUGUUUCAACGACAGCAAGCGUGUUGGAGAUACAUUGGUCAAGCUACAAAGGGCUC